Molecule: ribosomal RNA, 460 nt
Filed under: uncultured bacterium
Lineage: Bacteria
Description: partial 16S ribosomal RNA
Rfam family: Bacterial small subunit ribosomal RNA
Source: RNAcentral
CCUACGGGUGGCAGCAGUGAGGAAUAUUGGUCAAUGGACGAGAGUCUGAACCAGCCAAGUAGCGUGAAGGAUGACUGCCCUAUGGGUUGUAAACUUCUUUUAUAUGGGAAUAAAAUGUUCCACGUGUGGGAUUUUGUAUGUACCAUAUGAAUAAGGACCGGCUAACUCCGUGCCAGCAGCCGCGGUAAUACGGAGGGUCCGAGCGUUAUCCGGAUUUAUUGGGUUUAAAGGGAGCGUAGGUGGAUUGUUAAGCCAGUUGUGAAAGUUUGCGGCUCAACCGUAAAAGUGCAGUUGAAACUGGCAGUCUUGAGUACAGGAGAGGUAUGCGGAAUGCGUGGUGUAGCGGUGAAAUGCUUAGAUAUCACGAAGAACUCCGAUUGCGAAGGCAGUUCACUGGACUGCAACUGACGCUGAGGCUCGAAAGCGUGGGUAUCGAACAGGAUUAGAUACCCCGGUAGUC